RNAcentral lists this long non-coding RNA (493 nucleotides) under Homo sapiens (human). Its description in RNAcentral is "HSALNT0009500". Lineage: Eukaryota; Metazoa; Chordata; Mammalia; Primates; Hominidae. The record is from RNAcentral.
GCAGAUCUCCUUCUGCAGCCUUGGCUAUGAUCUCCGCUCCUCUCUCUCUCUGCCUUGGCUAUCUGCCUGCUCUCCUGCUGUCCUCAUCUGUAGGAGCUGCACAGCUCAGCAAGAAACUGUUCUUAGUGUGCCCAUCAAAGCACUGGAAGAAAAAGAAUACUGAGAUAGUUGCCUGAAAAGCAGAAGCAGCUCCUGUCACAGUGCCAAAUGCACUCGUUUAAGGAAUUCUGAUUUUACAAAAGGAACUCCCCCAACCCCCAAACUAAAAGUUAAAGAUGAAGAAGCAUCAUGUCUUAAAAUAGACAGUUUUGUGUUUUCUCACUGCAGUCAAAAACAGAACUCUGGCAAAACAGCAUGGAAUGGGAAGUGGACGUGGCUUUCUGCAUAAAACACAUACCCUGCAACAUAGCAAAUUACUCUGCCUGAUCCUUCACCCAUUAUCCUUGGACCAAGCUUAUGCUUUCUGUAAAAUUUCAGGCAAAGAUCCACUGGG